Long non-coding RNA from Dermatophagoides pteronyssinus (European house dust mite), 159 nucleotides. The record is from RefSeq and is a predicted model, not a curated record. NCBI's taxonomy places the organism in Eukaryota, Metazoa, Arthropoda, Arachnida, Sarcoptiformes, Pyroglyphidae.
UCUGAUUGUUAUUAUCUUCAAAUAUUCAAGGAAGAAGAAGAAUAACAUAACAAAAAAUAAACCUCAAGUUUCGACAACAAAAUUAUCCAUUGUUUGGAACGAAUAUUAUUGGGCGGUUUUUUUCCUGCAUAAACAUUACAAAAUCCUAUCAACGAAAAU